Long non-coding RNA from Pomacea canaliculata, 5479 nucleotides. RefSeq lists it as uncharacterized. The transcript is spliced from 3 exons. The record is from RefSeq and is a predicted model, not a curated record. NCBI's taxonomy places the organism in Eukaryota, Metazoa, Mollusca, Gastropoda, Architaenioglossa, Ampullariidae.
CCUCCCCUAGCACGUGCACACGUGUUGUCGUUCAUCAUCGAUCACUGAUGACUCCACUACGAAGGCGGGAGGAGAUAUUAAGGGAUGCGUUCAAUACGACCAUCAACACGCAGUGCGCAUGCUCAGACGCUGAUGUGGAGAUCUUCAAGUCGGUCGAUUAUCUGCUUUUUAACAUUUCACAAUAUCGUCUUCAAACUGCGAUGUAGGUGACGAUAAUACUAACACUUGCUUAUAUAAAAUUAUAUAUCCGUGCAUUUUCUAUAUCACAACAGUAUCAAGCUAUGACUCGUCACCAAAUGACAAAGAUCGAGUAGACAUGCAAAAAGACAUACCAAAGUCUAAAGACCACUCCCCCCCAAAAAAUAAAUAAAUAAAUAAAUAAAAAUCCACAUAAAAGCAUGUCAACAAGACACCAGCACUAACGAGAGUAAAGUCACGGCCAUGGACGACGGCAAAGUAGAUGAAUAGGGAAUCCAUGAACACAAAGGCUGGGAAAGGUAAACAGCUUGAAGUAUGGAGGAGCCAUCCUGUGCAGGACCCUGCUCAAUGUCGCCCAAGACAGGUGCGAGUGGCGGCCGUUGUCGACUGCCACGUCUGUCCAUUCGUUCGCCCAACGACGAAUAACUUAUGUAAAAAUAGGGAUCAACGAACGAAGGAUUCUAGUGACCUUUUUGUUCUGUUUCCAUUCAGCUUUUUUUAAACUCACGCAAGCGGAAAUAGCGAACGAUAAAAAUAAAUAGCUAAGCAAGUUUAUGUCGUGAAUGUGAACACGUGACUACGUCAGGUGGACUGUUUUCUCGGUGUGACUAAGGGACCAGGCUGCGCACAGACUUGAACUGUUGGCGUGAGCCCCGCAGCCAGCACCUAGCGACCUGUCGUGCACCUGGCUCCACAUCUCACAGCAGCCUGCGCCUCGUUAGGAAAGGUCUCAACGACUUCAGGGUCCUAGCUGACGUCACAACCUACCCUCGCCCACAAGCCCUCGUCCGUCAAACUCUCCUAAGCCCUCCAUUAAGAGAUUCUUUUGAACAUCUCACCUCGACUUGUCACAGCACGGACCUGUGGCGACAUGGGAAAGGUUGGGGAAGUAAGGAGAGAGAGAACUCGAAGGCCUGCGAUCUUGUGAAACGCUUGAUGUUGGCUGACAAAUAAUUGGCGGCAAAGCUUCUGUUUCCUGUCAACGGCCUGCUGCUUCAUUUUCUUCUUCCUGUCGUCUGGUACCGCUAGGUGGCGCAGCUGUUCAGCCAAACACGCAGACCAGGAGCACAAUCAACUACAGUACAGCCGCGCCUUUGCUGACCUGUCAAGAGAAGUUGAACCACUCCACUGUCGUCAGCGCCCUUCUCCACUCCACACAUGGAGGAGCACUGGCCUGGGCAUUCCCCAUGUUCUCAACACGAUGUGAUGCUUGACGGGGAGUGGGAGGUAGACUGGGCAUUCCCCAUGUUCUCAGAACACGAUACGAUAGUUGACAGGAGUGGGUGGUGAAGGUUCCAUCGACUGCCAACCUCCAUUAUCAACUGUCAUAAUGGUUUCUUCGUAUAACUGGUGAGGUCACACGGUGUCUGUAUCACCAUCCAGGCAUUUACGAAUGAUGUGAUCGAUGGACAGAGCUGCUCUGCUUAUUAACUGAUCUUCUCCUUUCAACAGAUGUGAAAAUAUGUUACACCAAUGCAUUUGCUAUUUUGGAAUUGAUUUGUUUCUCACGCAAGGAAGAGUUUGAUUUUUGUGAUUCUGCUUUUUGCAUAUCAGUAAGCAUAUGGGCAAUAGAAGGGUGGUAUAAGAUAAGCAAAAUUAUUAUUAUUUUUACAUCUAGCCCUCGAUCAAAGGAAAAGAAACUGAGACAUUACUUAACUAUAAAAAAAGGCAUUAAAGAGAAAAUUAGGAUAUAUACGAAGUUCAGGGUUGUUAUCUAAUUCGACAGAGAUUCUUGACUAGUGAAUAAGUAAGUAGGAUGCAUGUACAAUUUUCAUUGUCAGUAAUGGAUGUUUACGUUGAAUGGAAGGUCUCUGCAAGCAAAUGGAUUAUGUAAGGCAUGAAGGAUGAUGAUAGGUUGAAAGUAUCGGAAGUAUUAUAUCAGCGGAUUUGCGCAGCUUCUCUUCCUAUGGUCUAUGUUUUCAGUGAGGCCUUUAACAGAUUAUCCCUAUGGUGACAAAAAACGAACAAAAAAUCACUUAUGUGAUCUGUUCUCUGACUGGAUCAGUGGUGUGGACAGGAACAUUUGCAGGCUAAUUAAAGUUUUAUUAUUCGUAAAGGCCCACGAGCUUGGUGAUAAGGUUGAGUGGGUCAUGGUGCCAUAUAAGUGUCCUUUAUUUUUAUUAUCAAGUGCAAGUCGACUUUGCUGGUGGUCGGAAUAUCGACUAGCCAGUGGAGACCGGUGAUUUAAGCCUUGUUUGCAGAACCUCACAAGCAACCCAACUAACUGUCUGGACUUGAGACAAACUUGUUCAGUGCGUGCGUGUACCCACACGCCACCCACAGCAUGAGCGGGGUAUGGGGUGGGGACCAUGCUGCAGGAUUGUGCAAGGCCUGAGCCCAUCUCACACUGACCACUCGGCGCCAUUACUGUGUGAUUCAUUAACUUUUAUGCCACGACAUCGAUUCCGCAAGCUCCAGCAAUAUCAGCAAAAUACCCCCCUAGUCGAGGAGGGUAAACAUGGUGGAAACGCUUUUGGGAAAGGUAGGGGAGAAGCUGGAGUGGAGGUGUUGGAACGACAAAAUGCAUUAGAAGAGGGCAGGAUAGUAUGCAGGGAAUGUGGGCAGGGUGGUAAGAGAGAAUGCAGGCAGGAUGAAGAUGGAGAGUAACGGGGUGGGGAGAAUGUCCGGCCCGGAGGUCGUAUAAAACCCGGGAAAUCCUUUGAUCCGGCCCUGGCCACGGCAACCGCAGGCGGGAUUCAAAAUUCAAUAAAUCUCGCAGCUUUACUGCAGCAACAUAAUCUUAUAAUAAUUGAAUCAUAAUAAUAACAUGAUGUUUGAGGGACAAACAAGGGGCGUUUAUUACGGGAUGUUCAGGACACAGUACAUGACGAGACAGACAUGCUCCUCGCCGGCUUCCCUCGGUCCGUCUGCCUUCACUGCAUUGACUCACAAGUCAGCGCCAGGCAGACUGGGAGAGUAGGCGUUGCUAAAGUGGCGACAAUGUCCGGCUUGACCAAAUAUAGUAGGCUAAUUAUUAAGUUGAUAAUUUUGUUUGGCAUGCAAAUGAUUUAAAAAUAUCAAAAUGGCCCUUGGCAGCAGAAAGGUUCCCCACCUCCGAUGUAGAGAAUAGCAAAAUAAAGUGAACGUGAGCAGAAUAUUGAUGUAGAGGCGUGGCAGGAUAAAUAUCAAGAAGAGGAUAAAUAGCAUGAACAGUAAAAAGAUGUAGGGGAACAGGGCAAGAAAUGUAGAGAUAGAGGGCCAAUAGAUUUAUAUCUAGAAUAAAGAUAUAGCACUGUGGGCAGGAUACAGAUGUAGAAAUGUGCAGGAUAAGGAUGUUGGGUGUGGGGGGAAGGAAUGGGCAAGCUACAGAUGUACUGAUAAAGUGGACAGGAUAAAGAUGUUUGGGUAAUGGCCAGGAUAUAGAUGUAGAAGUGGACAGGAUAAAGACUCUUGGGAAAUGUGCUGGAUAAAGUUGUAGGAAAACUCAUGACAAGGAGGCUUCUGGGAAAGCACAUGACCCUUUAUACACACCACUCCUAGAUGACAGAGAAAGGGUGACAGUUUCUCACUCGCAGCACAAGCAUGAUGGGUGUCAAACCUGAUCUCAUCGUCUGAGUUUCCCCAGCACUGAUGACUUCCACUACUGACUUGUCACAACUAUUUCUAUUCAGUGUCCUUGUCCAAAAACCACAACCAUAAACAUUUUCAAGUAUUGCUCAACCACUUACCAAAAAACCCAUUUCAGGAAAAAUGAGUUCUGUUACUUUUACUUCUGUUACUUUUCUGUUACUUUUAGGACAAAGCACAAACUUCUGGGUAGGAUGCGUGUGUGCGACUGUCAUUGCAGUGUGUCAGCCUGCUGACAUAAAAUAAGCAUUUUUGCUACUGUUCUAAUUUGAGCCAUGCACAGUCUGGAUGGUAAUGUCCAUAAUGCAUUAAUAAAAUUGAUAUUUCUAGGCACUUAAUCAGCCACACGCCAUCACCAACAUAUUUCCAGGUUAUUAUCAAGCCAAGCUCAUUGGUUCAACAUCAUUUUCUGUCUAGAUGGAUCAAUAGCCUAAAUGAAAUUUUUUUUUAACAUUCCAUUUUGUGCCUCUGCUCCAUGAUCUUAAUGUAGCAAAUAAACCAUUUCUGAACUGAAUAAUGAUCAUUUUCAUGGAAGGAAAAUUAAUAUCUAAUCCUGAUCAUUUAAAAAAAUGGAAAGUGUUAAAAUGGUAAAACAACUCACUUUCACACAAGAAGAGGAUGAGAGAAAAAAACAGAGUUUAAAUCCUGCACAUUUGUGUGUGAAUGGACAUGUGAGAGAGUGAAGGUGUUGGUGAAAAUAACAUGCACGUGACAGCGGUGUCCCUGGACUUUGCUUUAUUUCAUUGUUCUUAAAUUAAAAAGCUUGCUGUUGCUGCACAGCUUGUACCCGACCCUUGACAGCGCCAGAGUGUCAGUACUAUACCUUUGCCAGUUACUAAGUGUAGCCCUGUACCUUCGCCAGUAGAGAUCACAGUUCACGGAACAUAUUGGUAGUUUGUUCAACGACAAUGCUCAAGCACUUAUAAAUGCUCUUGAUGUUUGUGAUAAUGUCUUUUGCUUUAGUAGUAAAGCGUUCUUCUUAGACCUCAUCAUAACAAUGACAGGAUUAUUAUGAGGGAGAGAAUAAGUAAAACUCGGAAACAAACAUAAUAGACUUAAUUCUGGACAUUUAAGAACAAAAGCUGCACUUCUUUAUGCACUGCUAAAAGUAGCUGGUUGGUUAAACUGGCAAGAAAAGUGUUCCACCUAGUCGUGAUUUUGCACUUUGAGAGGAAUGGGAUGGGGAAGAAGCCAGAAUAACCAGAGAAAACACCAAUGGCUGGUGUUGCAAACAAGUGUCAUGUACAAAGACCCUCCCAAGACAAGAUCUAAGCCCACAGCAUCUCACUGCAGUGGUGCCAGAGCAAAUGUUUUAUCCACUGCACUAUCAAGCAUCCUGUGCUAAAGAUAUAAUCUCACAUGAGGAUUUUAUCAACUGGGCGCAUAGUGAAAGUAAAAUUCCUAGUGUUCUUUAAAGCAAAGAAAAUAUAAUCAAUCUGCAGUGACUCAUGAGUUAUCAUUCUAUUUCCUUUUGCACAAGAAAUAAUAUACUUUGUGCUAGCAAGUAACUGCUUUAUUUUCUUUUCCCUUACAUAAUUUUCUGCCAAUUUUCUGUUGGUAAAUAAACUGUACUCAUAAAGCAAUAUUCUGUUGGUGUCACUUUGUGGAUGGAUAAAAACUGGACUUUUCAUGAUAGAGAGUCAAAUGAUAGAAAAGAACGCUACUAAUGUAAAAGUGAGUAUAUAAAAAAAAUGGUACUUUAAGACAACAACAA